UGGGGAAUAUUGGACAAUGGGGGCAACCCUGGUCCAGCGAUGCCGCGUGUGUGAAGAAGGCCUGCGGGUUGUAAAGCACUUUCAAUUGGGAAGAGAAGCGCCUUGUGAAUAAUGAGGUGUGGAGACGUUACUAAUAGAAGAAGCACCGGCUAACUCUGUGCCAGCAGCCGCGGUAAUACAGAGGGUGCGAGCGUUAAUCGGAGUNACUGGGCGUAAAGGGCGCGUAGGCGGUUAUAUUAGUCUGAUGUGAAAGCUCUGGGCUUAACCUGGGAUAGGCAUUGGAAACGGUAUGACUCGAGUGCGGGAGAGGGAAGGGGAAUUUCCGGAGUAGCGGUGAAAUGCGUAGAUAUCGGAAAGAACACUAGUGGCGAAGGCGACUUUCUGGCACACAACUGACGCUGAGGCGCGAAAGCGUGGGUAGCGAACAGGAUUAGAUACCCUGGUAGUCCACGCUGUAAACGAUGAGAACUGGGGGUAUGAUUGGCGCAAGCCGAUGUGUCUCUAAGCAAACGCACUAAGUUCUCCGCCUGGGGAGUAUGACUGCAAGGUU
This 550-nucleotide ribosomal RNA is filed under the name uncultured bacterium. Its description in RNAcentral is "bacterial SSU rRNA". It matches the Rfam family "Bacterial small subunit ribosomal RNA", at positions 355 to 895 of the family's 1533-position model. The record is from RNAcentral.